GGAUUAGGCAUGCAAGUCGCACGAGAAAGGCUUCUUCGGAAGCCGAGUACAGUGGCGAACGGGUGAGUAAUGCAUAGACAACUCGCCCUUGAGAUGGGGACAGCGCCUCGAAAGGGGUGCUAAUACCCAAUGCCGCCUUGGGCCUGCGGGUCCAGGGUGAAAGGAGGCCUCUGAUUCAAGCUUCCGCUCAAGGAGAGGUUUAUGUCCUAUUAGCUAGUUGGCGGGGUAACGGCCCACCAAGGCUGCGAUGGGUAGCCGACCUGAGAGGGUGACCGGCCACAUUGGGACUGAGACACUGCCCAGACUCCUACGGGAGGCUGCAGUCGAGAAUCUUCCGCAAUGCGCGCAAGCGUGACGGAGCGACGCCGCGUGGGUGAUGAAGGCCUUCGGGUUGUAAAACCCCGUCAGCUACUACGAAACACGGGCGAUGAACAAUCGUCCCGUCUGACUUAAGUAGCAGAGGAAGCACCGGCUAACUACGUGCCAGCAGCCGCGGUAAUACGUAGGGUGCGAACGUUGUUCGGAAUCACUGGGCAUAAAGGGCGCGUAGGCGGUCUGAUAAGUCAGGUGUGAAAUCCCUCGGCCUAACCGAGGAACUGCAUUUGAUACUGUCGGGCUAGAGUACAGGAGGGGAGAGUGGAAUUCCUGGUGGAGCGGUGAAAUGCGUAGAUAUCAGGAGGAACGCCGGCGGCGAAAGCGACUCUCUGGCCUGUUACUGACGCUGAGGCGCGAAAGCUAGGGGAGCAAACGGGAUUAGAUACCCCGGUAGUCCUAGCCCUAAACGAUGGGCACUAAGUAGAGGGGUUUU
This 808-nucleotide ribosomal RNA is filed under the name uncultured Planctomycetota bacterium. Its description in RNAcentral is "bacterial SSU rRNA". It matches the Rfam family "Bacterial small subunit ribosomal RNA", at positions 46 to 832 of the family's 1533-position model. Lineage: Bacteria; Pseudomonadati; Planctomycetota. The record is from RNAcentral.